CUGUGGCGCCCCGAGGCCCUAUCGGUGCUCCACAGGAGAGCACGAGAAGCACCAGGGCGGCCGGGCCUCCCGCCACCGGCGACUGGUGGGACAAGUGGAGGAUUGUACUCACCCAAAAGAGGAAGACUGAUACCCCGACCGGGAAGAAGUUUCUGUUCUUUUUGCUCCCCCUUCCCUUUCCCCAACAUUUAGUACAAAUAAAUGCGUUUUCUGUUAACUGA
Long non-coding RNA from Anguilla anguilla (European eel), 221 nucleotides. RefSeq lists it as uncharacterized. The record is from RefSeq and is a predicted model, not a curated record. NCBI's taxonomy places the organism in Eukaryota, Metazoa, Chordata, Actinopteri, Anguilliformes, Anguillidae. The transcript is spliced from 2 exons.